RNAcentral lists this transfer RNA (83 nucleotides) under Acidimicrobiia bacterium. RNAcentral's name for it is "tRNA-Leu". It matches the Rfam family "tRNA". From Rfam's summary of the family: Transfer RNA (tRNA) molecules are approximately 80 nucleotides in length. Their secondary structure includes four short double-helical elements and three loops (D, anti-codon, and T loops). The record is from RNAcentral. Lineage: Bacteria; Bacillati; Actinomycetota; Acidimicrobiia.
GCGGGUGUGGCGGAACUGGAAGACGCGCCAGGUUUAGGUCCUGGUGGGCGCUGCCCGUGGAGGUUCGAGUCCUCUCACCCGCA